RNAcentral lists this ribosomal RNA (530 nucleotides) under uncultured bacterium. Its description in RNAcentral is "bacterial SSU rRNA". It matches the Rfam family "Bacterial small subunit ribosomal RNA", at positions 335 to 861 of the family's 1533-position model. The record is from RNAcentral.
ACCCCUACGGGAGGCAGCAGUGAUGAGGGUGGGACAACAGGGGAAACCCUGAUCCAGCGACGCCGCGUGUGGGAUGAAUGGGUUAUGACCUGUAAACCACUGUCAGCAGAGAAGAAAAGGUUCCUUUGGAACCCGGGACUGUAUCUGCAGAGAAAGGACCGGCUAACUACGUGCCAGCAGCCGCGGUAAUACGUAGGGUGCGAGCGUUGUCCGGAAUUACUGGGUAUAAAGGGUGCGCAGGCGGUCUUGUGCGUCGAAGGUUAAAUACCAUGGCUCAACUAGGGAAAUGCCCUCGAUACGGCAAGACUUGAGUAUGAGAGAGGAAGUUGGAAUUCCUGGUGUAGCAGUGAAAUGCGUAGAUAUCAGGAGGAACACCGGUGGCGAAGGCGGUCUUCUGGGUCAUUACUGACGCUCAGGCACGAAAGCGUGGGGAGCGAACAGGAUUAGAUACCCCGGUAGUCCACGCUGUAAACGAUGUAUGCUAGAUGUUAGAUCAAAUUGUUGAUCCUAGUGCCCGGAGAUAAUUCGCU